UGCCAACUCUCUCUCAGGUACCCUGAGGUAUCCUCUGUCUCUGAGCACAUCCCUGAUGACCCAAGGCUUAGAGGAGGACGAGGGGGAAUAUGUGUGUUCCUUUCUCUGUUGCAAAGAGUUCCUGGAGACUUGAAGCAGGUUACAGCCACUCAGACUGAAGAAGACACUUCUACAAAGCCUGGCAAAAGCUCGGUGGCUGCAGAUGGGGACUAUUAGCCUUCUUAGACAUUCAGUUUGGGGAAGGAAUUCUCUUUUGCCAAGCAAACCCUGUGAAAAACAAAGGAAUCUUGGAAACCUUUGAGGAUCGGCGUCUCUGUACCUAUCUGGGUGACCUGUCCCAGUGCUGCACUGUUGCCCUAGAUAAAAAGUUUUUCUUAAUGUCCAGUCUGAACUUCCAAAGGCUUCAGUCAUAAGGUAAACCUACCCACAUGCAAAUGAGUAGACUUCAUAAGGCCCUAUACUUUCUGUUUAUCCAUUUUAAGAGCUGAACAAACAAGUAUAUGGUUAAACAGUUGAAACCAAGAUAUCACAUACCCUGAGCAACUUUUCGGGAAGGUAGAGGAGUUUUGUUGCUGGGCUUCUAGCAUACUUAAUAGUAGUGACAGGUGCCAAUGUAAAAUAGAGUUUGAUUUUCUGACCCAGCUCUGGCAUUGUUUAAAAUGCAAUGAAA
Molecule: long non-coding RNA, 670 nt
Organism: Aquila chrysaetos chrysaetos
Lineage: Eukaryota; Metazoa; Chordata; Aves; Accipitriformes; Accipitridae
Exons: 3
Source: RefSeq, a predicted model, not a curated record